UGUUUAUAUAGGCACCGGCUCUCACCAGGAACUCAAAGCCAUUUAUGGAUCCUGUCUCAUUACCUCCCAUAGGAGCCCUGAAGGUAGACAAGGGGUAAAGAAGACAUGGACUCAUCAUUCCUUGGGAAAACAAGCCACCUGGAAGGAACAUCCAGGCCUCUGUUAAAACAGACUUAUCCAACAUUCAUGAUGGUCAUGAAUCUGAGCUUUGUAGACAACUUUCUUUUCUUUUCUCUCUCUUUCUUUCUUUCUUUCCUUUCUUUCUUUCUACCAGGGGUUGAACUCAAGGGUGCUUAACCACUGAGCCACACCCAGCCCUUUUUUAAUAUUUUAUUUACAGACAGGGUCUCACUAAGUUGCUUAGAGCCUCGCUAAGUUGCUAAGGCUGGCUUUGAACUCACAAUGCUCCUGCCUUAGCUUCCAGAGCUGCUGGGAUUACAGGCAUGUACCAUGGCACUGGCCAUUUUGGUUUGAUAAUCCUAGGGCCAUUUUGUGAAACUUGCAUUCUGCAAUAUGAUGACCUUCACUCAGUAUGAUAAUCCCCAUUGAGUUAAAAAGGCAAAUUAAAACACUAUGAAUUGUGUGGUAUGGAGGGACUCACUCCAAGGUUAGUUUAAGGACCAAGGCUUAAAAAUUUACCUGAAUUGCCAUUGGGACAUAAGCCAUAUCAAGUCCCAGGGGAUUAAACAGAAAUCAGAACAACCUAGAUAUUGUGAUUAAAAUGGUGAUUCAUUAUCAUACAGGCACAGGAGAAAGAUAAAAACCAACAUGCAUAGUAGCAUCUUUGGGAACUCGACAUCAGGCCAAUAGUGUCAAGAAGAUUGAGGGAAAAAGAGGCUAGAGAAUCAGGUGGUGGCCAAACCACACAGGUCCCUGUGGACUCUAACAAGGCUGUGACAGUGCACAGCAAAUAUUUUAAUAUGAAUUCUGGUACCUAUUAUAGGACUCCUAGGGUACUCCUGGGCCUGGCUAUCCCCCCUCAUCAGGCCUUUACUAAUGAUUCUCUUAGCACUUCUUAUAGGUCCCUGUAUUUUCCAUGGUCUCCAAAAUUUCCUGAUGAAUCAGAUAAAGAUCUUCACCAAUCCAACAGUCAACCAGAUGGUCCUGGGUAGCUACACAAGACUCCAAGCUGAAAGACACCCAGAGGAUCACAGAAUGACCACACCCGGAAACUUUAAAAAAAAACAAAAACCUUAAAUCCCAUGACCCCCAUUCCCUGCCUAGAGACCAUCACCCCUUCCCAGCAGGAAGAAGCUACAGAAGACUGACUUUCAGCCUCUGUCAUAAUAAAACAAAAAGGGGAAAAUAAUGGGAUAUUCUGAACAUUAGUGACUCCAUUUUGGUUCUGGAAGUGCCUCUUGGCCCAUGGCUACCAAGAAAAAGAAACCUAAGCCAGGUGUGGUGAGGUACGCCUGUAAUCCCAGAGGUUUGGGAGGCUGAAACAGAAGAAUCGAAAGUUCAAAGCCAGCCUCAGCAAAAAAGGGGUGUUAAGCAACUCAGUGAGACUCUGUCUCUAAAUAAAAUACAAAAUAGGGCUGGGGAUGUGGCUCAGUGGUCCAAUGCCCCUGAGUUCAAUCCCUGGUAACCCCCUCAAAAAAACUUAAAAUACCCUUUUCUUAUAGCUUCCUCACUCCAAGGUCCCUAAAUACAAAAUUCUGUUAUUGCCCAGCCACCUGCAGUCAAGGUCAAUUCUAGCUGUC
RNAcentral lists this long non-coding RNA (1700 nucleotides) under Marmota monax (woodchuck). The record is from RNAcentral. Lineage: Eukaryota; Metazoa; Chordata; Mammalia; Rodentia; Sciuridae.